This 253-nucleotide ribosomal RNA is filed under the name uncultured bacterium. Its description in RNAcentral is "partial 16S ribosomal RNA". It matches the Rfam family "Bacterial small subunit ribosomal RNA", at positions 524 to 776 of the family's 1533-position model. The record is from RNAcentral.
UACGAAGGGGGCUAGCGUUGUUCGGAAUUACUGGGCGCAAAGCGUAGGUAGGCGGCGUCAUAAGUCAGGGGUGAAAUCCCGGGGCUCAACCUCGGAACUGCCUUUGAUACUGUGAUGCUCGAGUCCGAUAGAGGUGAGUGGAAUUCCUAGUGUAGAGGUGAAAUUCGUAGAUAUUAGGAAGAACACCAGUGGCGAAGGCGGCUCACUGGAUCGGUACUGACGCUGAGCUACGAAAGCGUGGGGAGCAAACAGG